Molecule: transfer RNA, 73 nt
Filed under: Apaloderma vittatum (bar-tailed trogon)
Lineage: Eukaryota; Metazoa; Chordata; Aves; Trogoniformes; Trogonidae
Rfam family: tRNA
About the family: Transfer RNA (tRNA) molecules are approximately 80 nucleotides in length.
Source: Rfam by way of RNAcentral
GGCCAGUUAGCUCAGUCGGUUGAGCGUGGUGCUGAUAACACCAAGGUUGCAGGUUCGAUCCCCGUUCGGUCCC